Molecule: long non-coding RNA, 1064 nt
Organism: Cryptomeria japonica (Japanese cedar)
Lineage: Eukaryota; Viridiplantae; Streptophyta; Pinopsida; Cupressales; Cupressaceae
Exons: 5
Source: RefSeq, a predicted model, not a curated record
CUAGCCGUUGGGAAAAAACAUUUGGAGAAAAUUCAAAUGUAAUGGAGCGGAAAACUAAUUGGAGUAAACCAUGGUAUCGUACGGAGUUCACUUUAAAGGAGGGAUCGUAAUUAUUAAUGUGUUAUUAUUUCUGCACAGAUGGAGUGAAAGUUGGGGCAAAGGCAGCCACAAUUGUCUGUAUCGCAUCUGCAUGUUUACCCUAACAUUUGUUAGGUCAAUUUUGUUUUAUUUUCUGUCAAUGCUUUGUUCUUCUUUGUUCUGUCUGUCUUUCUGUUAUUUCUUUCAUUAUAUUUUUUUUUUCCCAAUACAAUGUUUGUUCAAUGCUUUGCCCUGUCUUUUCGUUAUGCUGUUUUUUCUUUUUUUUUUGAAGAGUCUGUUUACAGUGUGCACACUGGUCUGUCUUUCAUGAUUUUUAUCUAUUAUUUGUUUUUUUUACUUUUCGUGUGGUAGAAGAUGAAGAAGAAAUGAAAAAGAGGAGGAGCAGAAUAAGGGAAAAAAUCUUCUUCCAGCUUGUCAUGGUACUGACAAUGGAUUCAUUGGUGGGACCAUUUCUCAGAGGAGGCCUUGCUAAGCUCUUCAUGACUCCCUCUGAACCCACUCACAGGUGAGCAACAUCAUCAACUUAGGGGAAAAUCUUGUGGAGUGGGACGUCUUACUUCUUGGUAAAUCACAAAUGUUUUAGGAUUGUUUGUGGGUUAUAGUAACACAAAGAAGCUGCAAUCAUUGAAGUUGACAUGAAAGAUUACAAACGGGACUUGGAUGGUAGCAUGUUGUAGCAAAAAAACUGCAGUUUGAUAAAUUGGGCUAAGCAGCUAUAUUGGGUUGAGCGACUAUAUGAACUCAUCUUUUUCAACAUGAUGUAUUCGAAACAGCAAGAGAUGGAAUUAGGCUUAAAUCAUUUAUGUAGUUAUAUUUUGGUCAAGCAUAUUGCCUUGAUGGCAUUGUAAUAUGUACAAAUAUAGUGUUUAAUAAAAAAAAUAUUGGAAGGGGUUAAAAUCCCUUUCUCACGACUGAAAGGAAUAGUCAUUGGCCAUGAUUAUUCCUUGAGGUCGUGUUUUCUGAUA